This 28-nucleotide non-coding RNA is filed under the name Rattus norvegicus (Norway rat). Lineage: Eukaryota; Metazoa; Chordata; Mammalia; Rodentia; Muridae. The record is from RNAcentral.
UUAUUAUAAGCAGGUGCCAUGAAGACAA